Papaver somniferum (opium poppy) is the source of this 1388-nucleotide long non-coding RNA. RefSeq lists it as uncharacterized. The transcript has 11 exons. NCBI's taxonomy places the organism in Eukaryota, Viridiplantae, Streptophyta, Magnoliopsida, Ranunculales, Papaveraceae. The record is from RefSeq and is a predicted model, not a curated record.
CUUUCACUCUCUUUAUACUAAAAGAUUGCUGAAUCUGUAGAUCUGAUCUCUCUCUAGUAAAAACCCUAACACCGCUGUUGAGGACGAUUUGAAUCACAAAAAAAACUGCAGUUGAGGAGUUAUUUGAUAUUAUAAGGUGGCAUCAAAAGAGGUUCAAGAAGAGAGCAAUUGCUGAGUAAGUUUGUGGAACAUGAGUGAGAAAAAUAGACCGGCUUAUGGAGCUAUACAUACGAUAUUCCGAUAGAGUUAAAGCAGAGACGAAAAUAAUGGACCAGCUUGGACUUGAUGAUUAAGAGAUGGAUGGGGAUGAGCGCUACGACUGAAAAAUGGAAUCUGGAUUGUACACUUUUCAGCUAAGUGAGCAUAAAACGUACGCAUAUGUAGAAGGUGUAUAUAAGUGCUUAGAAGAAAUAUAGGGCGCAAAACAGGAAGUGGUCUCACGCUGGAUCCUAACAGAUCGUUUGCCUCAAUUAAGAGUCGUUUUUCUCCAGUCCUAUACUAUCAGACUUGUAUCUUGUAAAGCGGACAUACUGGUUUGACAUGUAUAAGAACAUUGACAAAAUCUCGUUAGCUAGCUGUCCUGUGCUAACAAUUCAUGGAACAUCUGAUAAAGUUGUUGACUGUUCACAUUGGAAGCAAUUUUGGGAAUUGUGUAAAGAGAAAUAGUUGGUUCUAAAUGUUGGCCCUUGAUUUCAAGGCACAUGGCAAGUGCUAGUGAAGAAACUCAUAUUUACGCCGCCCAUUUGCAUGGAUCAACAACAAGAAAUAAGCACUUUAUUGUUUGCUAUGAACACAUUGCGGAGAAAGGGAAUGAAUGCCUCCAGUCUAUAAGCCACCACUGUACCACCAGUCCAUUCCACUACCACCUGUUGUUGCUUUGGUCUGCUAAUUUGGUUUCAAAUUUCAAGUUCACUAUCAGAUGAUUAUGCUGGAAGGAGCAAAAGCUACGAUAUAGGAUGUUGAUGCAUUAAGAAGUGGAGCUGCUGCAAUGAAGGCCACGCAAAAAGAAAAAUUUUUUAGCAGCUUCAGUGAAAGUGGACGUGCCACAUCUAUCUAGCACAUUGUUCUUGCUGGUUCCUCUGGUAGAAAUGACUCACAACCCAUGGUGAGAACUUAAACUUCAACCUUUGGGCAUGCCUCAUGCAGCAGAAAUGUUCACCUAGGUAGCUGGUUUCCUUAGUUCCAAAGAAUGUGAGAGCUCUUUUUUCUUUAAAUCGUUUUGUAAGAACCUUGGUGUGAUACUGAGUUCAUAGAUUUAUCCACAUGACAAUCCUUCAUAUGAUUUUUAUGGCGUGCUUCAUACAUUUUGUAUACGAGUUAAUCAUGGUGAAUUAACUCUAAGAACACUAUCUUGAUACUGCUAUUGGAUCAAUUUGAUUUCAAAUGAA